AUUAGGGUGCCAGCAAGAGGAACUGCACAGAGAUGGGUUCCCACCUGGUGGUGAUCAACAUGAGAGAUGAGCAGGCUUUCCUUUCCAGUUGGAAAGUUCCAAAGGGAACUUAUACAGGCACCCAACUAUAAAGUUGUUAUAUUGGUCUGACUCAUCAGGAGGAGAAGGGCCAGUGGUGCUGGGUGGAUCAGACUCCAAUAACCAGACUGCAGUGUUCUGGAAAGAUAAGGAACCCAAUAACCUUGACAAGGAGAAGUGUGUUGUCAUGGAUAUGAGGAAAAACACAUACUCAAGAGGACUACGAAUUGAAAUGAUCUCCCAUUAAACAGCAAUUUAUCAACAUUGUAAAAUUGCAGCAACAAAUAUUUGAUUAAAAACAUCCUGGGUGUCAGAGUGGAAAGAGAACCCAUCCCUCACUAGGAGCAGCUCACAAAGAUUUGAUAGGAGGGGUCAGAUUAGCCCUGAUCUGCAAUUAUGUGGGAGUGGUGGAGACUGUGGUGGAGGUUUCUGCACUCAGUGGCCUGAACCCAAAGUAAUUUUUAAAAAAUUAAAGCUGCUGAAAAUGUUUAAAGUGGGAAAAUGCCACAUGUCAGCUGAGCUCUGCUUGUGACCUCAUAAAAGCUGCCAAUGCUAUCUCCCAACAAGUCUGGUAGAGAGGGUAGCUUUGGGAAGGGGAGGGCCAUGGGAUUUGCCUUGCACUUGAGGGGAAAGAUACUAUUCUCUUAUAAUGAAGCGGACAAAUUUAAACCCAGAGGAAGUGUAUCACCUACUAGUGUGCCAUCGCUUUCUGCUUACUCCUUACUCUUACUGCAUACAACUCUUCACUAAGAAUUCUGAUUAUUUCAGGGCUGUGUCUACUAGUGUAUAUAUUGGAAAUACAGGUAGGUCCAAACUGGUAUCUUCUAACCCAUUUAGAACUCAGUUCCAUUUUGUAGUGUAAAUGGAGCUCGGAACCUAGUAUAAGUUCUCUUCUGUGUAGAUACAAAGUGGUCAUCUCAGCACAAUUCUAACUGCUUCCCACGCCACACUUGUAGUUCUAAGCCAGCUGGGGUAUAAGAUGUAAACCAAAGGAUUUAUCAUCCCUGUUAAUUAUUAUUUGUGGAAAGGGUGUAGACGUAUGGAUGGAAAAGCAGCCCAAAACUCUGUAAGGCUUGCAAUCACUGAGUCUUGUUAGACAUUAGAACUACAUUCUUGCUGGGAGAAAAAUAUCUGGGUCUGGUGUUAGAGACUCAAAUAUCCUGCUGUAAGGAGCUGUAGAAAAAGGAGGGGUUUUCAAACUACAGGAGCUUCAGUCAAAAAAAAAAAAUCUAGGGAUGGCUGCCACUGCCCAGGAGCCAGUGCUGGAUUGUUCCCUGCAGUGCAUUCCCCACUUUGUCUAAUUCUAAUUUUGAAUGGCAGCAGCAACGACAGAGCUUCCACUACUUCCUCUGAGGAGACCACAGGCCUCAAUCUCGUUGUUAGGUUCUGAGGCAGACUGUCUGAUGCUUUAUAUAAAGUUCUCUCUCUAGUACUGUCCUUUUACUGCUCUCUCCUUACUCUCA
Long non-coding RNA from Gopherus evgoodei (Goodes thornscrub tortoise), 1541 nucleotides. RefSeq lists it as uncharacterized. Lineage: Eukaryota; Metazoa; Chordata; Testudines; Testudinidae. The record is from RefSeq and is a predicted model, not a curated record. The transcript has 3 exons.